GACGAACGCUGGCGGCGUGCUUAACACAUGCAAGUCGAACGGCAGGACCCUGCUUUUGUGGGGUGCCCGAGUGGCGAACGGGUGAGUAACACGUGUGUAACCUGCCCUUGACUUUGGGAUAACUUCAGGAAACUGGGGCUAAUACCGGAUAGGAGCUCAUGCUGCGUGGUGGGGGUUGGAUAGUUUCGGCGGUAGUGGAUGGACUCGCGGCUUAUCAGCUUGUUGGUGGGGUAGUGGCUUACCCAGUAUUUGACGGGUAGCCGGCCUGUGAGGGUGAACGGCGACAAGAGUACUGAGAGAGGGAGCAGACGGGUACGGUAGGCAACAGGGGGGAGUAUGGCACAACGAUCGCAAGUCUGAGGCGACGGCGCUGCGGGCGUGAUGACGGCCUGUGGGGUAAGAACCGCUUUCGCCUGUGACGAAGCGUGAGUGACGGUAAUGGGUAAAGAAGCACCGGCUAACUACGUG
This 468-nucleotide ribosomal RNA is filed under the name uncultured bacterium. RNAcentral describes it as "partial 16S ribosomal RNA". It matches the Rfam family "Bacterial small subunit ribosomal RNA", at positions 28 to 507 of the family's 1533-position model. The record is from RNAcentral.